This 468-nucleotide ribosomal RNA is filed under the name uncultured bacterium. RNAcentral describes it as "partial 16S ribosomal RNA". It matches the Rfam family "Bacterial small subunit ribosomal RNA", at positions 28 to 507 of the family's 1533-position model. The record is from RNAcentral.
GACGAACGCUGGCGGCGUGCUUAACACAUGCAAGUCGAACGGAAAGGCCCUGCUUUUGUGGGGUGCUCGAGUGGCGAACGGGUGAGUAACAAGUGAGUAACCUGCCCUUGACUUUGGGAUAACUUCAGGAAACUGGGGCUAAUACCGGAUAGGAGCUCCUGCUGCAUGGUGGGGGUUGGAAAGUUCCGGCGGUUGGGGAUGGACUCGCGGCUUAUCAGCUUGUUGGUGGGGUAGUGGCUUACCAAGGCUUUGACGGGUAGCCGGCCUGAGAGGGUGACCGGCGACAUUGGGACUGAGAUACGGCCCAGACUCCUACGGGAGGCAGCAGUGGGGAAUAUUGCACAAUGGGCGGAAGCCUGAUGCAGCAACGCCGCGUGCGGGAUGACGGCCUUCGGGUUGUAAACCGCUUUCGCCUGUGACGAAGCGUGAGUGACGGUAAUGGGUAAAGAAGCACCGGCUAACUACGUG